This 10274-nucleotide long non-coding RNA is filed under the name Coffea arabica (coffee). RNAcentral describes it as "long non-coding RNA (CARA_LNC006954)". The stretch from base 2409 to 2480 matches the Rfam family "tRNA". Lineage: Eukaryota; Viridiplantae; Streptophyta; Magnoliopsida; Gentianales; Rubiaceae. The record is from RNAcentral.
UUUUUUUUUUUUUUUUUUUUUGCACUACUGUAUUCAGCCCUGACUCUUUUACUUUUUUUUUUUUUUUUAAAUAUGGGUUAAACGCUUCCUUAUCCUCUAAUCAUUUCCACAAUAUAGGGCCAGGCGGUGUGCCAGCAGGUUUCAUGGAAAUGUAAGCACUACAAAGUUCUAAUCCAGCCAUAGGAGUAUUAAGAAAUGGCCAUCACUAAAUUAGGGACGAAUCUUUGAAACUUGUUCAAUCAUUUGCAAUUCUUGUGCAUUACUUCAGCUCUAGUUUAUAAGGUAAAACACAUUCUCCAUGUCGGUGAGGGAUUAACUUUCAUUUUGAUUAAAUUAGGCAAAUCAUAUAUUUUUUUCCAUUCCAUAAUAAUUCUCUAACACUCUACCUUCCUUCGCAUCAUAAAAUGCAAGGUAAAGUAUUAAAAGCUAUUCUUGAAGUACAAAUGCCACUUGUUUUAAAUUAAGAGCGAAAUAAGUCAUUUUAUAAUUUGGGAUCAGUUAGUCUGUAGUAAAUGUAUCACAUGAGAAAAAGGACAUUUAGGGCUUGUUCUCAACUGAUAUUGAUUUUAUAAAAGUUGAUUUUAUAAAUUUGAUUUUUGAAAAUCAAAUUCUUUAGAAUAACUCAUGUGUUCUCAUUUACUAUUAGAAAAGCCAUUUUAAUAAAUGCAUAGGUAUUCUCAAAAAAGAAAAAGAGUUAAAAAGCUGAUUUUGAUAGAAAGAUGACCUUGUUACCCUUAUGUGUUACAAAAAUACAUUUCUGUGCUAAUUAAAUAACUUUUUAAUUUAAUUAAUUAAUUUUCUUAUGAAGAUUAAAUGGCGGAUGCGAAAAUUAAAGUUUACAUAGAUGAAUCUGAAAGUGAGAUAAGAAUUGGAAGAAAAUAGAAAGUCUAUAAAAAGUUACCUAAUCUUUAGGUAAUUUAGUAAUUAUGUUAAAAUUUGAAGGGUAAUUUAGUCUAAAUGAAAAAGAAGGCCAAAAUCAAAAUACAAACGCAACUCAAAACCUGCUUCUGAUUUUCAACUUUUUUGGACCCAAAAAAUCUAAAAUCAAUUUUUUAAAAUCAAUUGAGAACACAAUAAAAUGGCCUUUUAUAUAAUAAUCUUGGUUCAAGGGAAAAAUAAAUAAAUCAUCCAACGACCAAGGAUACAAUAAAGAUACAUCAAAGUCAAGUUGACGUCUACAAGCUAGCGUAUUUAUGAUUUGAUUUUUAAAAGGCAAAGAAAAGAAAAAUCAAAAGGUGGGAGAUACAAAUGCAAAUAUAACAAGAGUUUGAAAACCGUAGAACUUAACUUUCUUUUACUUUUAUUUUUUACUUUAGGUCUUAACUUUCUUCAGCUGCCCUUUGUCUCAUAGAACACACAUCACAGACUGUCCAAAUACAUUGCAGAUUCAAAGUAUUUAUAUGUCGUCAUUGAUGUAUUCAGCUGUGAUAUCAGACAAUGCUAAAACAAUGAAACAAUUUUGGUGGAGUAUAGAAGAUUGCCAUUUUCAGUGACGUAGCCAAAUCAUGAUCAGAUCAAGAACAUGGUAUGGUGUUCAAUUUUCCCUUUUUUUUUUUUUUUUGGUUUUUUUGGCCCACUUCUUCUUAUUUAUUCCUUUUCUGUACCUAAUUUAGAGAAAAUAUGGAAGAAGAACAUUAUGGGGAUUAUAGGAAAACUACAAUCCUUUCUGAUGAGUUGCAUCUCCCCUUAGAUUAGAUGAAAAUCAUAAAUUCAUCACCGACAAAGUCCAAAAUAGCCACUUGGAAAAUUUGGCCGCUUUAAUCAUUAGCAAGCAAUGAAAUUUUUACAUUUGAGAUUACAGAUUGCGUCACUUCAUCUAAUCCAACAUUUGGGCAUGGUCAUUUAUGUCUAACUGAAUGAGUUACAAGCAAUAGAGACAAAACUAUCAUCCAUAAGGUCCCGCUUGGAGUUGCAAUGCGUUUACAAAAAAAAAAAAAAAAGCUUUUAAGUAUUGAAAGUAUUUAUAAGUUGUUUGAUAACUAAUUUUACGUUAUUUAAAUAGCCCAAUUUUUUGUAGUUUAAAAGCACUUGUAUCAUAACUGUUUUUUUAAAAGCUACCGCAGUUUUAGAUGGGACGUAAAUCUCUUUAAAUCUUUUUUUUUUGUUAGUGACCAUAUAAAUUGUAGGCUUCAUAUCACCACGGUUAAAAAUGUGUUUUUUUUUCUAUAAAAAUGUAAAAUUGUAUUAGAAAAUAGGCUACAAUUCAAGUUGGAUGGUUAGUUGAAAAUUUUUAUAGUAACCUAUCUCUUCUUUUGAUAUUUUAUUUUGCCUGAAUGUGAUUGAUGGCAUAGAAUAGAACACCCGUUCUCUUUCCACACGGACUACUGACAAAAACAGUAAACCUGUAGCUAUAUGUUGAGGACAACAUUUUUUAGAUUUAUAUUGGCUAAUAUAGAGGUUGGACAAACGGGCAUUUGGUCUAGUGGUAUGAUUCUCGCUUAGGGUGCGAGAGGUCCCGAGUUCAAUUCUCGGAAUGCCCCAACAUUUGUGCUAAUUUUUUUUUUGACAGGAAACUGCAUGAGUCAUGAAGCCACAUUACAGACCAGGUAAAGCAAAUGUCAUCAAAAUCUGAACAGUACUAGUAUUUAAGUGAACCAAAGGUGGAAUUUUCUCUUUAUAUUAUACAUCCCAACAACAUAGUACAUUUACAGUUGAUCUAGAGAAAAAUAACUACAACUCCCCUAGUAAUUUUAUUGGCAUGGGAAGGGGCCAGUUGAAUGGAACACUUAGUAAUUUGAUGAAGAACUUGUUAGAGGCCUAAGGUCCACAGCAUUUCAUGCCAUAUCUUCUUCCCACAAUCUUUAUUGUCAUUCUUCCCCAUGCUAGCUCCAAAUCUUCAAAAGGUCUUAGACAUAAUUCAUGCCCAAGAGUAGCAAAAUUUUCUCCACAAAUGGGGAAGCAUCCUCACUACGAGUAGAACGUAUACUACUACGCGAAAUCAAUGAUACAUCAAAACUUGCCAGACCCAAAAUUACCAUUGUUGCUUAAAGGACCAAAAGGACUUCCUGCAUCAUUACUUUUGGCCCCCGCAAGUGUUUUUGUUCCCUCUUCAAUGCCUUCAUGGAUUCCUUCCGCCUUGGAAGCAGGGGCUUGUUGCCCCCUAAAAACACCCCACAGAUAAUACUUCCCCUGAAAUCCUGUAAAAGGCAUUUGUUAAGACACUCAAUUCUAAGCAAGUCUAAAAUGCUAAAGUGUCUCAUCAAUUAAAGGAGAUGCAACUCACUCCAGUAACUAAGUGGCAGUUCAUUAGAGGCAAAAAUCAAGAGCUCUGCAUUUUUGACAAUUGCUUUCAUAGCAAGUUCUUGGUCCAUCAUCUCCUCAACCAAACAAUCAAAAAGCCCUUCAGACCUGCAGGUAAGAGCCUCAAAGUUCAAAAUGAGCCAAAUUUUGGACAAAUAAAGUGGGUUAGGGCAGGGCAAAGUACUGAAAGCAAUACCUUUUAUCCAAUGGAAAGAAAUAUAGUGCAAUAUUGUCAUCAGAUGGCUGUGAUUUUUGAAAACUCUUUGGCCAGCAAUCCAUUUUGGCAAGCAUUUCAAGUUCAAGCGCUGAUGGCAACAAGAUUGCCUCCUCAUAUACUUUCUCACAUGCUUUGCUAGAUAAAUGAGCUACUAAUCCAUCAUCAAAUUCUUGAUAAUCCUUGUUCAGUAUGACAAAAUUUCCCCUGCAAGUAAAUUAGGAAAGAAAGUCAACAUGGUCACUAAGCAUGUAUUUAUUUAAUUUUUUUAAGCAAACAUGUAUAACUUAGUUCACCAAUAACAUAUAAACCAAAUAAUCAUCAACCUCCAGAUUGGCUCAAUACGUGGCACUGCCUGUUCACGAUUGUCAACGGUUAAAUUAUUUUCUAAAUGACCUGAUGCUAAUUGAGAACCCUCCAAGCAUUCCCCAGCACCUUUUUGUGGCAAAUUAGCUGAUGAAAAUUUAACCUCCAUUCUCUCCUUUUUGAGCUUCUCGAGCGAAGACAGCUCAUGAUCAUCCACCUUGGCUGCUGGGCAAGAAGUCUCGUUCAUCUCUAAUUCUGUAGACAAUGGAGUAUUGGUAGCACUAGCAGCAUGCUGAUCUUGCUCAGUGUGCCCAUGCUGUGGUCCUCUUCUUUUUCUUUCUUCGCUGGUGAUGACCAUCUUUUGUCCUUCAAGACCUUUUAAAGUUGUAUUAUUCCUUCCCUCACGAGCACUGUUGCUUUUCUCUGCUAGCUCCAGCUCUGUGCUUUCUUCAACCAGAUGAAAUCUAUGGUCCACCCCGGCUACUGAGCAAAAGCCCACAUGCUCCUUGCAUUCUGCUGACAACGGAGAAUUGGAAGUCAAUUCAUCAUGUAGUGAAGAUAACUCAUGUUCUAUGUUGCUUCUCUCUGUCAGCUCCAGCUUUCUAUCUGUAUCACCAGUUUGAAGUCUAUGAUCUUCCACCUCGGCUAUUGAGCAACAGGCCUCUUUCUCCUUUAAAUCUGUUGACAAUGAACUGGUAGCCAAAACAGUAUCUUGAACUUGCUCAGAGGGGCUAACCCUAAGCUGCAGUAUUUUUCUUUUUCUGCCUUUACUGGCAACAACCAUCUCUUCUCCUUCAAUAUCUUUUGAGCUUGUAUCCAAGCCAUUGCUUUUCUCUGUUAGCUCUAGGUCUGUGCUUGCAUCAACCAGUUGAAAUCUAUGAUCUUUCACCUUGGUUGCUGAGCAAGAGCCCUCUUUCUUCUCCAACCCUGUUAAUAGUGGAGAGCUCAUAGCCAGUUCAACAUCUUCAAGUAGACUAGAGGGUCUACUUUCAAGUCUUUCAUCGUCUUCCUGUCCUAACAGUGCUACACUCUUUUUCUUCGGCCUCAGUCUUGGUCUUCUUCUUUCUCCUUCAACGACUGUCAACUGUCCAUCAACAUCUUUAAAGCCAGUAUGGACCCUUUCCUCAUCUUGAACAGGGUUAAAUUUCAUGGAAGGUAAUUCCUUUGACAAGUCAACCUCACAUAUAUCACAAACCCAAUGGACGAAUUCAUCGAGUUUUUCUGGUAACUUAUCUAGGCAAUAUCUGCAGAGGAAGCAAAUGGUAAAGCAAACGAAAAACAUUUAACUCUCAGACUGAUCCACCUCCAACACAAAAACCAAAAAUCAUGAAAAUCAAGCGUAUGGUUGUACAUUUUUAUAUUAAGAAGAAACGUGACUGUUAUCUUUAAUGAAAUUAAAUAGUCAGGCCAAAAAUCAUGAUAAGUAAUGUGCAGUAGUAGUGAAGCAAUUAUGUUUUGAAUUUUAAAGUAUGACAAUUCUGCUGCACUAUACUUGUUUGAUCAACUUCUCUGUUUUGCAGGGUGUUUGAAUGCAUAGAUGCACACAGCAGGUAAUGUCUCUGUGUUUGUUUUGGCGUACAAAAUUUUUUUUUUUUUGGGGUGUUGGGGGGGGGGGGGGGGUAUUUAUACCCAAAUAGGUGCAGAAAUCAUGGAAGACUAGAGGUACCAAUUCAACAUACCUGUGAAUAAAAUAUUUCUGACACUUCACACAUUCAUUCAAUGCACUAGAAAAUCCUUUGUCACCACAUUGCAGGCAAACUCUCACCUGCAACACCAAGCAAACAGAUUGUAGCAUCAUAUAGACAGCCAAAUAACAUGAGCUUAAGGCCAUUGGGCCUGCAAACACCAUCAAAUUUGAUAAAACAGCAAUUAUCCAAGAAUAUCUGUUGGAUAUCCAUUAUGCCACUAAGAAGAAAAUAUUUGGCAGGGGAUAACGCUUACCCUUUGAAGGAGGUCAGACAAGGGCACAAUUAGAGUAAACUCAGACAUACAAAAAGGUACAUAAUUCUUCCCCAAAACCAGACACCUUGAGCAAACAAAUGAAACUCGUUUUUGCAGAAGAAAGAUAAUUGUGAGAACUCUAUAGAUUAUUGCAACGCAAGAGUAUGAGCAAGCAUUCUAAACCAAAAGCUGUUCAAGCAUCUAAGGUGGCAUGUUCAUUCAGCAAAUGAUAUACUACAAAAGAAUGUUUGAGUGCCAUUCAGAACAUGAAUAUUAACUUAGAACUUCGAUAACAACUUGGUUUGAGUUCUCAUAAUUACCCACCAUAUGUGUCAACUACUAAGAAAUCAAAUUACUGAAAGAAGUAGAAAAAGGAAGUUUCAUCAACUUCUAUUGUUUCACAGUCAGGUCAGAAAAGACCAGCACAUAUAUGAAUGCCAAAAUAUUACAGCAUGCCACGGAAAAAGUUGGCAUAUAUCAUGAGUUCCUCAGCAAUGGAUGAUACCAGCAUUAAUUCUGAUCUUAGGUAGGUUAUCAACAAGAAGAAUGUUGCACUGUGCAGUAAACUUGUCAAAUCCUCAGAAUAUUGUUACUUCCCCAAAAAAUCUGCCAAAUAUGGCUGUGUGGAACUCGCGUACUAAAGUAUGCCCGUCGCGCCAUGUAGGCAUGACGGGAGGUCAAUAUUUAAAAAAAAUAAUAAAAAAAAAAGACAAAGGACCAUCGGCCCUACAUUGCGUGACGGCUGACACCUUUGAAAAAAAAUAUGGCCUGUUGCGCCAUGGGCCUGACACCUUUGGAAAAAAAAAAGGACCAUUUCUAUGUAGCCAUUCAUUGGAAGAUUCAUCAACGGCUACCUAGAAAUGGUCUUUUUUUUUUUUCCAAAGGUGUCAGGCCCGUUGCGCCAACAUAUUUUUUUCGAAAAGCUGUCAGCUGCGACGAAGCUGUCAGCCGUCACGCCACCAUGGCGCAACGGCCUGACAGAUUUUUAAAAAAAAAUUAAAACUGGGCCGUCACGCCAUGUAGGACCGAUGGCCCUGUCUUUUUUUUUUAAAAAAAAAUCUCGACCUCCCGUCACGCCAUGCAUACUUUAAUACACGAGUUCCACACAACCAUAUUGGGCAGAUUUUUUUUUGGAAGGACAAAUAUUCUGAGGAUUUGCCCAGUAAACUUGGUAAACAGAAUUAAGUAAAAAAGAACAAUAACGCCAUUAAAUAUGUCUGCUGAUGAAUCUACAACAUGUACAAGAAGUACUUUCACUUUGUAUGGAACAAACCAUUCCAUCUUCAGAAUUUGAAAAACACAGAGUAGACUAAACAUCAAAAGAAGAAGCCCUAGGAUCUGAUACAUCUCCAUAGUACAGUCAGGUCAGUCUUACCGAAUCACAACAUGAACUCCAAUAAACAAACCUAUCAGAUGAUCAGAAACAUGUUCUUUGAUUACCUUUUUAUCUUCUCAGCAUUACACCUUGUGAAAAGGGAAUGCCUUUCAUACUUUAGAAAGAAAGGACUCCUACAGCAUCAUAUCCAUUUUAUCAACAAACUAAAAUUAUUCAUCCGUCCUUAUCCUGAUGGUGCACGGAUAAUUAUGACCCUCUUCAGCAACUCUCCUCAAAACCAAAAACAACUCCACAGCGACACAUAUGCCAACCGCACUAUGUUCUCUAUAUUCAUUUUCCCUACUAAUCAUAUUGCCAUAGACACUUAUAAAUUUGCUCAUUAAAUAACCAAACAGAUAACGAAAAGGGACUGCAUAGUUACAAAAUUUCCCAGAUAAUUGGACCCCCAAUUCCAAAACUUUCCCGGGCCUCAAAUGGAAGAAAAAAAAAUGAAACUUUAGAAGUAAUUCCUUCCUACAAAAGGAUGAAUCCCGGAACCAAAUUAUCAAAUCAGCAUUCAAUGAACAGAAACUUAAAGAUUACUCCUUUAGAAAAAAAGGAUUAUUAUCUGCAUGCAACAAGAUAUACUACAUUUCAUGUUUGGACUAUGUCCAAUUACACGCAUCAAGUACAACAGAAAUUCGCUAAAAAAAAAUAUACACAUUCAACAAAAUAUGGAAGAAAAAACUACCAUGGUGGGAUAAUUUGAAGAGCCCGGGAAGAAACCAAUCAAAGCUAACGAAUUUCAGGAAAAUCCCAUCACAGACCUCAUUUCAACAGCCAAACUAGAAGAGCCCUAAUAGUGAAAUUCUGUUCUUUGAAAGAGUAAAACCUCAAGGCCCUCUUUGGAUUGGCAAAGAAUACUAGUAAAAAAGACAAUCAAAUCAGUGAAAAAUUUGUCAGGGCUUUUUCCUGCGACUGAUUAGUGACAAUUCAAGUAAGGCAUUAAUGGGAAAUGGGGAUUUUGAGGAGCACUAUUUUCUUUUUUUCCCCCACUUUCUUUUUCGAAUUUUUCAGCAACCCUGUAUAAAAUAUAAAUAGCGCCAACAGAAUAGAACAGAGGAGUGUAAAUUCCGGAGAGUACAGGUACUGAGCGGCAAGAAAAUGGAACUCAGGCUGGCGUUGGUGCUUCACGCGCUGGCUGCCCGGGUAAAUUUUUGAGGUUUUCGUUUCUAUUGAUGUUUUGGGGGUAUUUGGUUUGUUAAUUUUUGGAUUUUUAAUGAUUUUCAUGCUGUAAAUUUGAUAAUACUUGAUCAAAUUAACUAACAAAAGUUAAUAUAUAAACUCAAGAUUUGAUAACCCUGUAAACUUAAUAUAUGAAUGCUAACAAAAGUUAGAAAAAAUAAAGACAAGAAGCUCAAAUAGGAAAAUGUAUUACUCUUUAGGGAAAUCAGAAAUGUCAUUUGCAUUCCGUUUUUUGUUAUUUAUACUCUCACCAUUUGUUUUAUCACAUAGUCUAAUAAAUAAAAAUUUUAUGAUUAAAACGAUAAUAAAAGUGUGAUUAACAAAAUUGGAAGGACAAAUAACAUUUCCGUGUUCUUUAUUAUCUUUAUCUCAUCAGGUACAUCUCUUCAAUACUUACAAAUGAGGUUUCAAUGAUCUCUGUUAAUGGGGAAGUUUAUAUCCUUUGAAGUGUUAUGAAUUUAUUGAUGAAUCAUUAGUGGAGAUGAAUGUAUUAAUUAAUUUAUUUAGAGGGAUGAAUGUACAUCCGUAUUCCAUUAAUUUCAUAACAUAUACACUAAAUAGACUCAAAAAAAAAAAACCUUCUUGCUUUUAUCAUGCAUCUUCCUUUAAUUGAUAAAUUAAAGUGAAUUUUUCAAUUUAAAAAUGUUUAAAUAAAAAAUCUUCUAGCAUUGUUAUCAAAACAAUAAAAAAAAACACUUGCUUUUAUUAUUUCUUGUAUAAGAAAUUGCACAUAUAACUUUUAUCAUGUAUCCUACAUGAAUUAGCAACCAAAUGCAAAGGCAUGACUUCACUGUUGUAUCACAAAUUAUUACCAUUGAAAAUUCUCCUCUUGCUACAAAUAUUUCAAUUAUUUUGACUGGAGUGAAUUUCAAUCUCCCACUUACUUUCCAAUGAGAAAGAAAUGAUUUCACUGACAGUGUGUAUAAAAUUAAUUCUUAGAUGGUUUUCGUUUAUUAUACCUCAAUCAGAAAGCAAAAGUAAGGGAAUUUCUUUCCCAUUAGGAAGUAGUAAAUAAGUAGGAGAUUAAAAUUCAUUCUAUAAGAUGAACUCUUAACUUUUAAGUUUUAUCUACCUUAACAUCUUAAAUUUUCUGUAUUCCCUCUAACUGAAAAUGUAUCAAUCAUUUAUCUUUCACAGUUAACUGUGAUUAGAGUUCAAAUGCAGCAAAAUAUCUCUUGCCACAUUUUCUUGUUCCUUUAUCCAUUCUCUAUUCUGGUUUGGGCAUUGGCUUUUAUGGAUGGAAAGAACAAUUGCAAUGACAUUAUUCUUUCUAAGCUUUGGUCCAAAUUAUCUUACAGCUUUCCGUGAAGUAAAUUUUCACCUCAUCAUUAUAUCCAACAAAGAAGUGGCCACCAACCACCAAGUAAUAGUUUGAGGAUUAAUUUUACCGGUGCUGUUUUCAUCAAACACUUGAGUUUAUGGUGACAAUCAAGUGCAAUUAGGUUGAUAAGAUGCUUUACUUGUAAUCAUAUAUAUAAACAAGUGAUCACGGAUUCGAAUCAUCCAGACGUAAGUGGGAAUCACUAGUAAUCUUCCUUAUUAUGAAAAAGAUUCUAAAAUAAUAAUAAUAACCAAGUUUAUGAAGGUUGUCGUUCGCAUUAGUGAUGGAUUAUUCAUGGAUGCUCUUGCUAAAAAAAAAAACUAUGGGAAGAAGGCAUUCUACUUUCACACAAAACAGAAAGGGCAGUGAAAAUAAUCAAAUGUGAUUACCAGGAGGGGAAGGCCUAAAGCCUUACCUCAAUAAUUACAUAAAAGAUCAAGUCCUAAUGUGAGUGCAUCACACUUUAUCUAAUCUAAAACAACAUUAGCUAAUGCAAAGAAAAAGGCUUACCAUAGAAAUGAUUACAAGUUGAGAAGCAUCCUACAUUAGACAUAAUAUCCGCGGACUGACUACAUUGAAUGAUUAAACAAGAAACUAAUACCCUCUACCUUUCUAGCAGCUGAACCUAUGUUGAACAAGUGAAAGGUUUGCUUUUCCUGUCCAGACUAUUCCGAAGGGCUCUGAGAACCAUU